This 300-nucleotide long non-coding RNA is filed under the name Homo sapiens (human). RNAcentral's name for it is "non-protein coding lnc-EBNA1BP2-1:2". Lineage: Eukaryota; Metazoa; Chordata; Mammalia; Primates; Hominidae. The record is from RNAcentral.
CCAGAAUUGGUUCCUUCCGGUGGGUUCUUGGUCUCACUGACUUCAAGAAUGAAGCCACGGACCCUUGCGUCACAAGCACCUCUUCGGCAAAGCCCACCUCCCUCUCUCGCUUGAUUCCCCGGCCAUCCUUAUCAAAGACCUUCCAGGUGAACAGGCAGCCAUCCUCAGCAGCAGUCAGCAGGAACUGAUCAUCAAAGCCAGUAGACAAGAUUUGACUCUGGAGGUGACGUCUGAGCCAAUAGGUAUUUGGAGUCUGGAGAAAAAGCCAUGCUAAUAAAUUUCUGAACUUGGAAGUCAAAA